Molecule: ribosomal RNA, 253 nt
Filed under: uncultured bacterium
Lineage: Bacteria
Description: partial 16S ribosomal RNA
Rfam family: Bacterial small subunit ribosomal RNA
Source: RNAcentral
UACGUAGGGGGCUAGCGUUGUCCGGAUUUAUUGGGCGUAAAGAGCGUGUAGGCGGCCAGGUAGGUCUGGUGUGAAAACUCGAGGCUUAACCUCGAGAUGUCAUCGGAAACCAUCUGGCUAGAGUCCGGAAGAGGAGAGUGGAAUUCCUGGUGUAGCGGUGAAAUGCGUAGAUAUCUGGAGGAACACCGGUGGCGAAGGCGGCAUCCUGGACCGGUAUUGACGCUGAGGAGCGAAAGCCAGGGGAGCAAACGGG